RNAcentral lists this ribosomal RNA (372 nucleotides) under uncultured organism. RNAcentral's name for it is "bacterial SSU rRNA". It matches the Rfam family "Bacterial small subunit ribosomal RNA", at positions 526 to 896 of the family's 1533-position model. The record is from RNAcentral.
CGUAGGGUGCGAGCGUUAAUCGGAAUUACUGGGCGUAAAGCGUGCGCAGGCGGUUUUGUAAGACAGGCGUGAAAUCCCCGGGCUCAACCUGGGAACUGCGCUUGUGACUGCAAGGCUAGAGUACGGCAGAGGGGGGUGGAAUUCCACGUGUAGCAGUGAAAUGCGUAGAGAUGUGGAGGAACACCAAUGGCGAAGGCAGCCCCCUGGGUCGAUACUGACGCUCAUGCACGAAAGCGUGGGUAGCAAACAGGAUUAGAUACCCUGGUAGUCCACGCCCUAAACGAUGUCAACUAGGUGUUGGGUGGGUAAAACCAUUUAGUACCGGAGCUGACGCGUGAAGUUGACCGCCUGGGGAGUACGGCCGCAAGGUUA